UAGGAAUCUACUUAGUAGUACGGGAUAGACCUUAGAAUUGGUGGGUAAUACUGUAUAAUCCCCGAGGGGGUAAGAUUUAUCGCUAUUAGAUGUGCAUACGUUAGAUGAGCUAGUUGGUGAGGUAAUGGCUUACCAAGGUUAUGAUCUAUAGAUGGUAUGAGAGGACGAUCAGCCACACUGGAACUGAGAUACGGUCCAGAGUCCUACGGGAGGCAGCAGUGGGGAAUAUUGGACAAUGGGCGAAAACCUCAUCCAGGUAUGCCGCCCGAGUGAAGAAGGCAUUCGGGUUGUAAAACUCUUUCCAUAGGGAAGAUAAGGACGGUACCAAUAGAAGAAGUCCCGGCAAACUCUGUCCCAGCAGCCGCGGUAAUAGGGAGGGGGCUAGCGUUGUUUGGAAUUAUUGGGCGUAAAGGGCACGUAGGUGGACUAGUAAGUUAAAAGUGAAAUACCAAAGCUUAACUUUGGAGCGGCUUUUAAUACUGCUAGACUAGAGGUCGAAAGAGGAUAGCGGAAUUCCUACAGUAGAGGUGAAAUUGGUAGAUAUUAGGAGGAACACCAGUGGCGAAGGCGGCUAUCUGGUUCGAUACUGACACUGAGGUGCGAAAGGGGCGGGAGCAAACAGGAUUAGAUACCCUGCUAGUCCCACGCUGUAAACGAUGAGUGCUAAAUGUCAGGAUUUC
RNAcentral lists this ribosomal RNA (680 nucleotides) under Ehrlichia canis. RNAcentral describes it as "bacterial SSU rRNA". It matches the Rfam family "Bacterial small subunit ribosomal RNA", at positions 118 to 832 of the family's 1533-position model. The record is from RNAcentral. Lineage: Bacteria; Pseudomonadati; Pseudomonadota; Alphaproteobacteria; Rickettsiales; Anaplasmataceae.